Molecule: non-coding RNA, 367 nt
Organism: Cricetulus griseus (Chinese hamster)
Lineage: Eukaryota; Metazoa; Chordata; Mammalia; Rodentia; Cricetidae
Source: RefSeq, a predicted model, not a curated record
AGUAUCUCUUGUCAAUAUAAUAUGGUUAAUGGCCAGGAAUGCUGGGAGCCACACGAUGCUGGAAGGCAGGUUUUCACUCCUUCUGCCUCUGACACAUGCCCAGUGUUCCUAGCUGUGAAGUGGCCAAGUCUCAUGGGGCUUCCACGGGAGUAAAGUAAGAGAACACGACAAGUGUUUGUGGCCAACAGCCAGGGUGGAGAAGAGGUGACCAGUGAUUGCUUGCGGGAAGAGACAUCAAGGUGACAUGGAACCCUGUUGGGCUUGCACAUCAGACAGAUCUACCCAGUGAAGAAAGAUGUCGAUGGGAUGAGAAGACAAUGCAUAUUCAGUUGGAAAGAUGAGAACAGACAGAAAAUCCAGACAGAGU